Molecule: non-coding RNA, 1023 nt
Organism: Punica granatum (pomegranate)
Lineage: Eukaryota; Viridiplantae; Streptophyta; Magnoliopsida; Myrtales; Lythraceae
Source: RefSeq, a predicted model, not a curated record
GAGAGAUGAGGAAGACAUCGAUACUCAAAGAAUACGAGUAACAUGAGGGUCCUCAAGCCGUGGGUUUGAAAAGCAUUAGGAGAAUCUAGAAGAGGGAGAUGGAGUUUUAAGUGGCUUAUUCUAUAGGAAAAUUGACACUUUCUCAAAAAAAUAUCAAAAUUUAUUAAUAUUCUAGUGCGGAUUUGUACCUAGUUGAAUGAAAGCUAAGGACCCUGCUCUCUAAUGAGUUUUGUCAUGCUUUGAGAAAGGGGAUUUGAUAUAAUUGCAUAAGUUGCCGCUGCUGUUGCCGCCCAUCGACAACACCUGACCUUCUCCUAGGAACCUCUUAUCGAUGUCACUGUUGCUACUGUUGCUGCUGCUGCCUUCGCCAUUGCAAAAUCUCACCGGAAAAGAUCGGAUCUCCACCUCAUGAGCCACCCAGGAGGACCUUGACCUCGCAACACCCUAGUUCGGAGCCUACCAGGAGAAAGUGACACACCAUCGCCAUCCCAAGGGAGCCUGCUGCUGCUCGAGUACAAGGAGGUGGUAGUAGGGGAGAGCUCGAGUAUGAGGAGGAAGUUGAUACGGGAGAACUCCGAAGUGGCAGUGUAACUGGUGGGAGUGACAGUGUGAGGACUGGUGGGAGGACGGCUAGGGGAGGAUGAGGUUGUCAGAAUGGUGACACAGAAGUGAGCUGCCGGAGGGAGAGGAGGUGGCGUGGAUGGCAGUCGCAGCUGAUAUAGACCAGGCGAGCUGGACUAGGAGCAAUUGGGCGGAGGGAAGAAGCUAGCUGACCAGACGGACCUGGGGCCUGAUCACAGUGCGGAGGUUUCUGCGUGGUUCCAUUUCUGAUUGCAGGAGACUUUGGUAUGCUUGGACCGAGUCCUAACAUCAUUCUUCCGGUUCGGAUUUGACGGAGAUUAGCUGAUUAGAAAUUAGAAUGCACUCAACAUUCACUUUGUAACUCCAAUUGCAAUUCACCGAGGCCGUACAUGGUCCUAGCAACACCGGACAUGGCUACUUAUCAAAUCAAAAAAAAAAAAA